Molecule: ribosomal RNA, 1440 nt
Filed under: uncultured organism
Description: SSU rRNA
Rfam family: Bacterial small subunit ribosomal RNA
Source: RNAcentral
CAUGAUGAACGCUAGCUACAGGCUUAACACAUGCAAGUCGAGGGGCAGCAUGGUCUUAGCUUGCUAAGGCCGAUGGCGACCGGCGCACGGGUGAGUAACACGUAUCCAACCUGCCGUCUACUCUUGGACAGCCUUCUGAAAGGAAGAUUAAUACAAGAUGGCAUCAUGAGUCCGCAUGUUCACAUGAUUAAAGGUAUUCCGGUAGACGAUGGGGAUGCGUUCCAUUAGAUAGUAGGCGGGGUAACGGCCCACCUAGUCUUCGAUGGAUAGGGGUUCUGAGAGGAAGGUCCCCCACAUUGGAACUGAGACACGGUCCAAACUCCUACGGGAGGCAGCAGUGAGGAAUAUUGGUCAAUGGGCGAGAGCCUGAACCAGCCAAGUAGCGUGAAGGAUGACUGCCCUAUGGGUUGUAAACUUCUUUUAUAAAGGAAUAAAGUCGGGUAUGGAUACCCGUUUGCAUGUACUUUAUGAAUAAGGAUCGGCUAACUCCGUGCCAGCAGCCGCGGUAAUACGGAGGAUCCGAGCGUUAUCCGGAUUUAUUGGGUUUAAAGGGAGCGUAGAUGGAUGUUUAAGUCAGUUGUGAAAGUUUGCGGCUCAACCGUAAAAUUGCAGUUGAUACUGGAUAUCUUGAGUGCAGUUGAGGCAGGCGGAAUUCGUGGUGUAGCGGUGAAAUGCUUAGAUAUCACGAAGAACUCCGAUUGCGAAGGCAGCCUGCUAAGCUGCAACUGACAUUGAGGCUCGAAAGUGUGGGUAUCAAACAGGAUUAGAUACCCUGGUAGUCCACACGGUAAACGAUGAAUACUCGCUGUUUGCGAUAUACUGCAAGCGGCCAAGCGAAAGCGUUAAGUAUUCCACCUGGGGAGUACGCCGGCAACGGUGAAACUCAAAGGAAUUGACGGGGGCCCGCACAAGCGGAGGAACAUGUGGUUUAAUUCGAUGAUACGCGAGGAACCUUACCCGGGCUUAAAUUGCAGAUGAAUUACGGUGAAAGCCGUAAGCCGCAAGGCAUCUGUGAAGGUGCUGCAUGGUUGUCGUCAGCUCGUGCCGUGAGGUGUCGGCUUAAGUGCCAUAACGAGCGCAACCCUUGUUGUCAGUUACUAACAGGUUCCGCUGAGGACUCUGACAAGACUGCCAUCGUAAGAUGUGAGGAAGGUGGGGAUGACGUCAAAUCAGCACGGCCCUUACGUCCGGGGCUACACACGUGUUACAAUGGGGGGUACAGAGGGCCGCUACCACGCGAGUGGAUGCCAAUCCCCAAAACCUCUCUCAGUUCGGACUGGAGUCUGCAACCCGACUCCACGAAGCUGGAUUCGCUAGUAAUCGCGCAUCAGCCACGGCGCGGUGAAUACGUUCCCGGGCCUUGUACACACCGCCCGUCAAGCCAUGGGAGCCGGGGGUACCUGAAGUGCGUAACCGCGAGGAGCGCCCUAGGGUAAAACU